This 21-nucleotide non-coding RNA is filed under the name Caenorhabditis elegans. The record is from RNAcentral. Lineage: Eukaryota; Metazoa; Nematoda; Chromadorea; Rhabditida; Rhabditidae.
UGUGGACAAUUUGGUAUUUAU